RNAcentral lists this ribosomal RNA (1086 nucleotides) under Misgomyces dyschirii. Its description in RNAcentral is "SSU rRNA". It matches the Rfam family "Eukaryotic small subunit ribosomal RNA", at positions 21 to 1115 of the family's 1831-position model. Lineage: Eukaryota; Fungi; Ascomycota; Laboulbeniomycetes; Laboulbeniales; Laboulbeniaceae. The record is from RNAcentral.
AGUCAUAUGGCUGUCUCAAAGAUUAAGCCAUGCAUGUGUAAGUAUAAGCAAUUUAUACUGCGAACCUGCGAAUGGCUCAUUAAAUCAGUUAUAGUUCAUUUGAUGGUAUCUUGCUACAUGGAUAACUGUGGUAAUUCUAGAGCUAAUACAUGCCAAAAACCCUGACGUAAGGAGGGGUGUGUUUAUUAGAUUUCAAGCCGAUGCCCCUCGGGGCCGUUGGUGAUUCAUGAUAACUCAACGCAGCGCAUGGCCUCGUGCCGGCGCGGGAUCAUUCAAAUAUCUGCCCUAUCAAGUUUCGAUGUGAAGGUAGUGUCUUCACAUGCUUUUGACGGGUAACGGGGAAUUAGGGUUCGACUCCGGAGAGGGAGCCUGAGAAACGGCUACCACAUCCAAGGAAGGCAGCAGGCGCGCAAAUUACCCAAUCCCGACACGGGGAGGUAGUGACAAGAAAUACCGAUACAGGGUCCUUUAGGAUCUUGUGAUUGGAAUGAGUACAAUUUAAAUCCCUUAACGAGGAACAAGCGGAGGGCAAGUCUGGUGCCAGCAGCCGCGGUAAUUCCAGCUCCGCUAGCAUACAUUAAAGUUGUUGCAGUUAAAACGCCCGUAGUUGAAACUCGGGCCUGGUCGGCCGGUCCGCCUCACCGCGUGCACUGGUUCGGUCGGGUCUUCUUCCCUGGAAAGCCGCAUGCCCUUUACUGGGUGUGUCGGGGGCCCAGGACUGUUACUGUGAAAAAAUCAGAGUGUUCAAAGCAGGCUCACGCUCGAAUGCCUUAGCAUGGAAUAACGAAAUACGACGGGUGUGUUGUGUUCCGUUGGUUUUUGCAACCUCCGUAAUGAUUAAUAGGGAUGGUCGGGGGCAUCGGUAUUCGAUCGUCAGAGGUGAAAUUCUUGGAUUGAUCGAAGACCAACUGCUGCGAAAGCAUUUGCCAAGGAUGUUUUCAUUAAUCAAGGACGAAAGUUAGGUGAGCGAAAACGAUCAGAUACCGUUGUAGUCUUAACCGUAAACUAUGCCGACCAGGGAUCGGGCGGUGUCUACUUUGAUGACCCGCUCGGCACCUUGCGAGAAAUCACAAGUUUUUGGGUUCU